RNAcentral lists this ribosomal RNA (1143 nucleotides) under Clostridioides difficile. RNAcentral's name for it is "partial 23S ribosomal RNA". It matches the Rfam family "Bacterial large subunit ribosomal RNA", at positions 1549 to 2703 of the family's 2925-position model. The record is from RNAcentral. Lineage: Bacteria; Bacillati; Bacillota; Clostridia; Peptostreptococcales; Peptostreptococcaceae.
GAUAAUGCUGGGAUGUGAUGGGGAGCGAAAUUUAGUAGCGAAGUAGCUGAUUUCACACUGUCAAGAAAAGUCUCUAUCGAGGUUAAAGGUACCCGUACCGCAAACCGACACAGGUGGGUGAGGAGAGUAUCCUAAGGCCAGCGAGAGAACUGUUGUUAAGGAACUCGGCAAAAUGACCCCGUAACUUAGGGAUAAGGGGUGCCACCAUCAGGUGGCCGCAGAGAAUAGGCCCAAGCGACUGUUUACCAAAAACAUAGGUUUCUGCUAAGUCGCAAGACGAUGUAUAGGAGCUGACGCCUGCCCGGUGCUGGAAGGUUAAGGGGAUCUGUUAGAGCAAUCGAAGCAGUGAACUUAAGCCCCAGUAAACGGCGGCCGUAACUAUAACGGUCCUAAGGUAGCGAAAUUCCUUGUCGGGUAAGUUCCGACCCGCACGAAAGGCGUAACGAUUUGGGCACUGUCUCAACAACAGACUCGGUGAAAUUGUAAUUCCGGUGAAGAUGCCGGAUACCUGCGACAGGACGGAAAGACCCCAUGGAGCUUUACUGUAGCUUGACAUUGGGUCUUGGUACUACAUGUACAGGAUAGGUGGGAGGCUUUGAAACCAGGACGCCAGUUUUGGCGGAGCCAUCCUUGGGAUACCACCCUUGUAGUACUGGGACUCUAACCAUAGGCCAUGAAUCUGGUCUUGGGACACUGUCAGGUGGGCAGUUUGACUGGGGCGGUCGCCUCCCAAAAGGUAACGGAGGCGCUCAAAGGUUCUCUCAGUACGGUCGGAAAUCGUACGUAGAGUGUAAAGGCAAAAGAGAGCUUGAUUGCAAGACAUACAGGUCGAGCAAGGAUGAAAAUCGGACUUAGUGAUCCGGUGGUUCUGCGUGGAAGGGCCAUCGCUCAACGGAUAAAAGCUACCCUGGGGAUAACAGGCUUAUCUCCCCCAAGAGUCCACAUCGACGGGGAGGUUUGGCACCUCGAUGUCGGCUCAUCACAUCCUGGGGCUGUAGUAGGUCCCAAGGGUUGGGCUGUUCGCCCAUUAAAGUGGUACGCGAGCUGGGUUCAGAACGUCGUGAGACAGUUCGGUCCCUAUCCGUCGCAGGCGUAGGAAAUUUGAGAAGACCUGUCCUUAGUACGAGAGGACCGGGAUGGACG